AAUAGAUACCCUGGUAGUCCACGCCGUAAACGGUGGGUACUAGGUGUGGGUUUCCUUCCUUGGGAUCCGUGCCGUAGCUAACGCAUUAAGUACCCCGCCUGGGGAGUACGGCCGCAAGGCUAAAACUCAAAGGAAUUGGCGGGGGGCCCGCACAAGCGGCGGAGCAUGUGGAUUAAUUCGAUGCAACGCGAAGAACCUUACCUGGGUUUGACAUGCACAGGACGCCGGCAGAGAUGUCGGUUCCCUUGUGGCCUGUGUGCAGGUGGUGCAUGGCUGUCGUCAGCUCGUGUCGUGAGAUGUUGGGUUAAGUCCCGCAACGAGCGCAACCCUUGUCCUAUGUUGCCAGCGGGUUAUGCCGGGGACUCGUAGGAGACUGCCGGGGUCAACUCGGAGGAAGGUGGGGAUGACGUCAAGUCAUCAUGCCCCUUAUGUCCAGGGCUUCACACAUGCUACAAUGGCCGGUACAAAGGGCUGCGAUGCCGUGAGGUGGAGCGAAUCCUUGGUAAAGCCGGUCUCAGUUCGGAUCGGGGUCUGCAACUCGACCC
Molecule: ribosomal RNA, 545 nt
Filed under: uncultured bacterium
Lineage: Bacteria
Description: bacterial SSU rRNA
Rfam family: Bacterial small subunit ribosomal RNA
Source: RNAcentral